This 728-nucleotide ribosomal RNA is filed under the name uncultured archaeon. RNAcentral's name for it is "bacterial SSU rRNA". It matches the Rfam family "Archaeal small subunit ribosomal RNA", at positions 102 to 829 of the family's 1478-position model. The record is from RNAcentral.
GGAUAACUUACCCUUAGGACUGGGAUAACUCUGGGAAACUGGGGAUAAUACCGGAUAUUAGGCUAUGCCUGGAAUGGUUUGCCUUUGAAAUGUUUUUUUCGCCUAAGGAUAGAUCUGCGGCUGAUUAGGUCGUUGGUGGGGUAAUGGCCCACCAAGCCGAUGAUCGGUACGGGUUGUGAGAGCAAGAGCCCGGAGAUGGAACCUGAGACAAGGUUCCAGACCCUACGGGGUGCAGCAGGCGCGAAACCUCCGCAAUGUACGAAAGUGCGACGGGGGGAUCCCAAGUGUCAUGCUUUUUUGUAUGACUUUUCAUUAGUGUAAAAAGCUUUUAGAAUAAGAGCUGGGCAAGACCGGUGCCAGCCGCCGCGGUAACACCGGCAGCUCGAGUGGUAGCUGUUUUUAUUGGGCCUAAAGCGUUCGUAGCCGGUUUGAUAAGUCUUUGGUGAAAGCUUGUAGCUUAACUAUAAGAAUUGCUGGAGAUACUAUUAGACUUGAAGUCGGGAGAGGUUAGAGGUACUACCGGGGUAGGGGUGAAAUCCUAUAAUCCUGGGAGGACCACCUGUGGCGAAGGCGUCUAACUGGAACGAUCUUGACGGUGAGUAACGAAAGCCAGGGGCGCGAACCGGAUUAGAUACCCGGGUAGUCCUGGCCGUAAACGAUGUGGACUUGGUGUUGGAAUGGCUUUGAGUUGUUCCGGUGCCGAAAGGAAGCUGUUAAGUCCACCGCCU